GAAAUGGGGACGCUUCUCUUCACCCAGUGCCACCGCACGUUAAGUACCAGAAGGCUGCCUGUUCUUCCACGAGUACAGAUUGAGAUGCUCAGAGCCCCGGUCAGAACAACAGCGGAACAGUUGGGGGACACUUGAGCCAGGAAUUAGACGAAGGAUGCGUCUCCUGCUUUGUUGUUGGAACUGGCCCUAGAUCACUCACAAACUGUGCUGGUGGAGGACGGCAGAGCAGAGGGAUCUUCCUUCAGGUUGCUCUCCAAGAAGUGGGGGAGCAAAUAACAGCCUAGUCAUAGGGCCUCCGUGCAAUGAUCACAGUCUCCCUUGGAGCCUGACUGAGGAACCAGCGUGCAGCCAAGGCAAAGAGAAAGCCAUGAGAAGGUGCUUUCCCUGGGAGAAGAAAAAAGACGACAUUUCAGUCGCCGUGAGAGGGAAAAAGACAGCUCUCCUUCACAGGCCUGGCAACCCCACGGAACUGAAGCUAUAGAUCACGGUAGAGCGAACAGGAACAGUAGGAGAGGUUCUCUGAGAAGAGAUCUCAGCAUUUUUGUAAACAUCUGACAAGAAUCAGAGACCCAGAUCGAUGGCAUUAAGCCAUUUUGUGUGUCAGUAAUUAGACAGCAGGAACAACCUCUUCCCAGCAACGCCUAGAUUACAAGUGUUCAUGACAUCACACCUUCUCUCUGAAAGGAUCUGCUCCCCCCUAAAUGAAAAGGAGGAAACCAGGAUUAGCUCCAAACAAAAAAAUUAACAUAAAUUAGCUCAGGGAGAAAAACGUAUUUAAAUGAAGUCUUCAAAGGCCUGGAAUUCUUUGAAUAAGAGGUAAGGACUAUAGCAUAGAAAAACCCAGUGAUGCCCAAUUGUCUCAGCUCAGAUUUCCCAGAAGCAGAGCCUGAAAUGAGGAUUCUUGCUCCAGUGACUUAUUGGCUUGUGCUCUCAGGGCGGGAGAGUAGGGAAAGAGUAGGUCUGAGGGCGAAAGCUAAGCAAGAACUAGUCUUAGCUGGAGACCAGCUUCAGUGUGGCUCCCACUGGGACCCCCUGGAGCGCAAACUUCACUCAACUCCCACCUUGAGGUGAAGGGGCUGGCCUCUGCCCAAUCAUCAUCUGCCAAGGUCUAUGAGGGGAGGUAGGUGGGCUACACAAGAGUCUUAGGUUGGCUGGGGCAGGGUGAGUGGGGGAUGCUCCAGAAUGACAGCAGCCGUGAGCUGUUGGCAGCUAUAGGAUGGGUGCACUGGCUGGUAAAGAGGAUGUGGGUGGGGCACCAAUGGCAUCCACUAUCCUAAGUCAGUGUUAGAAGAGCAGCAGCAGGCCGUGACCUGAUGCACAGAGCAGGACCUUGGCUGGCAAAGCAGUGGCUGAACACAAUAGGAAGCUCCUGUGGAUGUUCAAUAAAAGCCAUUCCCAUCUGACCAGAAUGAAAGUCCUUCCUUUUCGGAGGUGCAGAAGGGGAAGAAACAAAGAAUCAGAGAGCACAUCCAGAAAAGCCUCUGGAACCACUCCCACAAGCUGAGGGUCUGCUGUGGGUCUCGCUUCCUUGGUGCUCACCAAGUUUCAUCAACUCCUGGGGGGCAGAUCUGUCAGCUUUCCCAAGGGAUUGGGUGACAUCCAAAUGUCAUGUUGGAAAGUACCACUUAGUAGUCUCUCUUUCCUGGAAUGAAAGAAUCUUUGAGUCAACAUGGGAACAUCACAUAUUCAACAGCUUCCCAAAGGCUUAAAUGUUGAUUUAUCUGUGUUGCUGGCCAACCCAGGCUCCUUGCUGACUUAGCACAUGGACUGGAGAGAAUCAUACCUUUUAGUCUGAAGAUCAGGAUCCAUAAUCUAAAGGAGCAAGAGGCAGCAGGAGACUCAUCCCGAAUAUCCUCUGCUUAGUCUUCCAACUCAAAACUGGCCAACAGGACUGAACAAACCGAAAAUGUGAACACACAUUGCUUUGCAAGAUGCCAUUGAUGUCACAGCACAGCCAUUUGGAAAAAGUGAGAUAGGCCCUAGUUUUCCCUUCAAAUAAGUAGUUCCAUAGCAAAAAAUAAAAAAAUAAAAAUUAGCAUUGUUUUUUUCUUUUUAAGACUACGUGACAGUAAACAACAAUUUGGCUAAGUUUUUUUUCCUAACAGAAUGUUUUUGAGUAUCAUGUAGUCAUUCCUGUAGUCAAAGCACAAAUUAGUCCACAGAGGUGACUAAUUUUUUUAAAAGUUGCAACUUUCCUUGGUAAUCUAUUCCUAAGCUUUACAAUUUUCUCUCCCAAGAAUUUAUUCCUCACGUUGGACCUGGACCAUUUCUCUCACAACUGUCUCUUCUUUUGUCUUCAGGAAAAAUAAAGAACAUUAUAUUACUAAAUACAAUGGUGUAGUAUACCUUUGCCUAAAUGAAAUAUUGGUCUGUUCCCUCAAAUUUCUCCCAUGCAACUCAAAUAAUCAUAAAAUCCUAAUUUCUUCAUCUCCUUCUUAUACGUUAUUGUUUAUACAUAGGUGCUAUCUGUUGUUUCCAAAGUUCUAAAUAGUUCUGACACUUGCGAUUCAGAAUUGGUGCUGUCUUCUCAAGUUCUUGGUCAAAGAUCUUCCCCCGAAAGCCUGAUUGAGGGCCACCUGGGCAGCAGCCAUCGACGUAUCUGGGAGGCCCCAGUCUCCUCUGAGCAUGGUGGUUAAGACUGUGGGAGUGGAGGCAGACCAAUCUGUGUUUGAAUUCCAGCUAUGCCAUUUACUGUUUGUUCAUACUUGGGUAGUAAUUAACAGCCCUGUGCUUAGGAAAUGAGGCUAAUAAUUGUACCUAUUUUGUAAAAUUUUUAUGAAGAUGGAAUGAGACAAAACCGUGAAAUAAUAGACACUUCGACAAUCAUGUUAGGGAUUGUUAGAAUAAACUUUAGUUCUUGUUAUCAUUAUAUAUUCAUUUGUCGUUUACCUGAGUUCUAUUGGUGAAUGAAACAAUACCAGAUUUUUAUAUUUCUUCCUCAUUUUUAAUUUUCCCUUUUGAAUGUGUUAGUGUCAAUGAAUGUCAUUGACAUUCCUGGGCCAAAGAUAUAUCUUGUCUCCUUGAGUCAAACAGAGAACCUUCUGACCAGGUCACACCUAGUCUGGAGUACACUAGCCAUUUGAGCAGCACACUCAAGGUUUUAGGACAUGUAGGAGAAAAAGUAGGUCUUCUCGGAAGUCAUUCUUCUAAUUGCCAUGUCAUUGAUCUCUGGCCCAGGUUCUGAAAGAAAUUAGUUCAGAGGGAAGUUCAGCAGAGAGCAAGUGUUAUCUAGAUUUGGAAAAAUAGGGUCC
Molecule: long non-coding RNA, 3251 nt
Organism: Equus caballus (horse)
Lineage: Eukaryota; Metazoa; Chordata; Mammalia; Perissodactyla; Equidae
Source: Ensembl